GUCGUAACAAGGUUUCCGUAGGUGAACCUGCGGAAGGAUCAUUAACGAAUAACUAUGGUGUCUCAGGUUGUAGCUGGCUCCUCGGAGCAAUGUGCACGCCCGCCAUUUUUAUCUUUCCACCUGUGCACCGACUGUAGGUCUGGAUACCUCUCGCCGCAAGGCGGAUGCGAGGGUUGCUCGUAAAGGGCUCCCCUCGAACUUCCAGGCUCUACGUCUUUUUACACACCCCAAUAGUAUGAUGCAGAAUGUAGUCAAUGGGCUUCACAGCCUAUAAAACACUAUACAACUUUCAGCAACGGAUCUCUUGGCUCUCGCAUCGAUGAAGAACGCAGCGAAAUGCGAUAAGUAAUGUGAAUUGCAGAAUUCAGUGAAUCAUCGAAUCUUUGAACGCACCUUGCGCUCCUUGGUAUUCCGAGGAGCAUGCCUGUUUGAGUGUCAUUAAAUUCUCAACCUCACCCGUUUUCUGAACGGGGUCGAGGCUUGGAUGUGGGGGUUUGUGCAGGCUGCCUUCACUGGCGGUCUGCUCCCCUGAAAUGCAUUAGCGAGGUUCAUGCUGAACUUCCGUCUAUUGGUGUGAUAAUUAUCUACGCCGUGGACGAGGAUCAGACUCGCUUCUAACCGUCCGCGAGGACAAUACCUUGACAAUUUGACCUCAAAUCAGGUAGGACUACCCGCUGAACCUAAGCAUAUCA
RNAcentral lists this unclassified non-coding RNA (692 nucleotides) under Coprinellus domesticus. Its description in RNAcentral is "sequence contains 18S rRNA gene, ITS1, 5.8S rRNA gene, ITS2, 28S rRNA gene". The stretch from base 285 to 438 matches the Rfam family "5.8S ribosomal RNA". Lineage: Eukaryota; Fungi; Basidiomycota; Agaricomycetes; Agaricales; Psathyrellaceae. The record is from RNAcentral.